UACGAAGGGGGCUAGCGUUACUCGGAUUGACUAGGCGUAAAGGGCGCGUAGGCGGUUUGUACAGUCAGACGUGAAAUUCCUGGGCUCAACCUGGGGGCUGCGUUUGAUACGUGCAGACUUGAGUUCGGAAGAGGGUCGUGGAAUUCCCAGUGUAGAGGUGAAAUUCGUAGAUAUUGGGAAGAACACCGGUGGCGAAGGCGGCGACCUGGUCCGAUACUGACGCUGAGGCGCGAAAGCUAGGGUAGCAAACGGG
RNAcentral lists this ribosomal RNA (253 nucleotides) under uncultured bacterium. RNAcentral describes it as "partial 16S ribosomal RNA". It matches the Rfam family "Bacterial small subunit ribosomal RNA", at positions 524 to 776 of the family's 1533-position model. The record is from RNAcentral.